UCAUUGGUGUUUCAGUGGUAGAAUUCCUGCUUUCCAUACAGGAGACCUGGGUUCACUUCCCAGCCAACGUG
Molecule: transfer RNA, 71 nt
Filed under: Loxodonta africana (African savanna elephant)
Lineage: Eukaryota; Metazoa; Chordata; Mammalia; Proboscidea; Elephantidae
Rfam family: tRNA
About the family: Transfer RNA (tRNA) molecules are approximately 80 nucleotides in length. Their secondary structure includes four short double-helical elements and three loops (D, anti-codon, and T loops).
Source: Rfam by way of RNAcentral